This 533-nucleotide ribosomal RNA is filed under the name Yarrowia alimentaria. RNAcentral's name for it is "eukaryotic LSU rRNA". It matches the Rfam family "Eukaryotic large subunit ribosomal RNA", at positions 42 to 663 of the family's 3401-position model. The record is from RNAcentral. Lineage: Eukaryota; Fungi; Ascomycota; Dipodascomycetes; Dipodascales.
AUCAAUAAGCGGAGGAAAAGAAACCAACAGGGAUUACCUCAGUAACGGCGAGUGAAGCGGUAAAAGCUCAAAUUUGAAACCCUCGGGAUUGUAAUUUGAAGAUUUGGCAUUGGGAAAAGCUAACCCAAGUUGCUUGGAAUAGUACGUCGUAGAGGGUGAGAACCCCGUGUGGCUAACCGUUUCCCAUGUAUUGCCUUAUCAAAGAGUCGAGUUGUUUGGGAAUGCAGCUCUAAGUGGGUGGUAAACUCCAUCUAAAGCUAAAUAUUGGCGAGAGACCGAUAGCGAACAAGUACUGUGAAGGAAAGAUGAAAAGAACUUUGAAAAGAGAGUGAAAUAGUAUGUGAAAUUGUUGAUAGGGAAGGGAAUGAGUGUAGCGUGGGUGAGGUUUCAAUUAUCUCUCGAGGUGAUGUACUGCCAAACCCGAGUCAAGGAGUGGGAAAAAGGGGUUAUAAAUGCAAACUCUCGAGUCUGCACCUAACCCCCGCCCUCCACUCCUCGACAUAAUACACCCAUUCCACCCGUCUUGAAACACG